UUAUCUCUGUAGAGUCUGCAUAUCAAUAAGCGGAGGAAAAGAAACUAACUAGGAUUCCCUUAGUAACGGCGAGUGAAGCGGGAAGAGCUCAAAUUUGAAAUCUUCAAGGUUUUACCUUGACGAAUUGUAGUUUAAAGAAGUGUUUUCUGUUGGUGUUUUGGUAAAAGUUCUUUGGAAUAGGACAUCAUAGAGGGUGAGAAUCCCGUAUUUGACCAUUACUUCCAGCGUUGUGAUACACUUUCAAAGAGUCGGAUUGUUUGGGAAUGCAGUCCAAAAUGGGUGGUAAAUUUCAUCUAAAGCUAAAUAUAUGGCGAGAAACCGAUAGCGAACAAGUACCGUGAGGGAAAGAUGAAAAGAACUUUGAAAAGAGAGUUAAAGCAGUACGUGAAAUUGUCAAAAGGGAAGCGUUUGACACCAGUGUUGUCUUCUCGAAAAUCAAUUAAAAAAAGUUGGAUUUCGUAUUGUUAAGACCUUAUCAGCUUACUGUACUCUUUUCUUGCUUUUUUUAAUGCACUUUUCGUUUAACAAGUCAACAUCAAUUUCUUUUGUUGUAAAAGAGUCAUUGGAAGGUGGCUUUCACUUCGGUGAAAGUGUUUAUAGCCUUUGGCUUCUGCAAUCGGAGAGAUUGAGGUCUGCAGCGUAGAUCCUUCGGGGCUAGAUACGUAGAUGCUAAGUUAUAGUUUUUUAUAGACAACUUGUUGACUAUAAUUAAUCAUGUAGCUUACUCGUUUGCGCUAUUUUACCUACGCUUAGGAUGUUGACGAUCAGCUGAGCGCG
RNAcentral lists this ribosomal RNA (777 nucleotides) under uncultured Neocallimastigales. RNAcentral describes it as "partial large subunit ribosomal RNA". It matches the Rfam family "Eukaryotic large subunit ribosomal RNA", at positions 24 to 633 of the family's 3401-position model. Lineage: Eukaryota; Fungi; Neocallimastigomycota; Neocallimastigomycetes; Neocallimastigales. The record is from RNAcentral.